RNAcentral lists this ribosomal RNA (439 nucleotides) under uncultured bacterium. RNAcentral describes it as "partial 16S ribosomal RNA". It matches the Rfam family "Bacterial small subunit ribosomal RNA", at positions 339 to 795 of the family's 1533-position model. The record is from RNAcentral.
CUACGGGACGCAGCAGUGGGGAAUUUUGCGCAAUGGGGGAAACCCUGACGCAGCAAUACCGCGUGAGUGAAGAAGGCCUUUGGGUCGUAAAGCUCUUUUCUUGGGGAAGAUAGUGACGGUACCCAAGGAAUAAGCACCGGCUAACUCCGUGCCAGCAGCCGCGGUAAUACGGAGGGUGCAAGCGUUGUUCGGAUUUACUGGGCGUAAAGGGCACGUAGGCGGCACAGCAAGUUAAGGGUGAAAUCCCGGGGCUCAACUCCGGAGCUGCUCUUAAAACUGCUGAGCUAGAGAUAGUCAGAGGCGGGUGGAAUUCCAGGUGUAGAGGUGAAAUUCGUAGAUAUCUGGAGGAACACCGGUGGCGAAGGCGGCCCGCUGGGGCUAUUCUGACGCUAAGGUGCGAAAGCGUGGGGAGCAAACGGGAUUAGAUACCCUGGUAGUC